UAACACGUGUGUGAUCUGCCCUGCACUUCGGGAUAAGCUUGGGAAACUGGGUCUAAUACCGGAUAUGAACGGUCUUUGGUGUGAUUGUUGGAAAGAUUUUUUCGGUGUGGGAUGAGCUCGCGGCCUAUCACCUUGUUGGUGGGGUAAUGGCCUACCAAGGCGUCGACGGGUAGCCGGCCUGAGAGGGUGUACGGCCACAUUGGGACUGAGAUACGGCCCAGACUCCUACGGGAGGCAGCAGUGGGGAAUAUUGCACAAUGGGCGCAAGCCUGAUGCAGCGACGCCGCGUGGGGGAUGAAGGCCUUCGGGUUGUAAACUCCUUUCGCUAGGGACGAAGCCUUUUAUUAGGUGACGGUACCUGGAUAAGAAGCACCGGCUAACUACGUGCCAGCAGCCGCGGUAAUACGUAUGGUGCAAGCGUUGUCCG
RNAcentral lists this ribosomal RNA (427 nucleotides) under Corynebacterium sp. Its description in RNAcentral is "bacterial SSU rRNA". It matches the Rfam family "Bacterial small subunit ribosomal RNA", at positions 111 to 547 of the family's 1533-position model. Lineage: Bacteria; Bacillati; Actinomycetota; Actinomycetes; Mycobacteriales; Corynebacteriaceae. The record is from RNAcentral.